Molecule: ribosomal RNA, 805 nt
Filed under: Fissuroma thailandicum
Lineage: Eukaryota; Fungi; Ascomycota; Dothideomycetes; Pleosporales; Aigialaceae
Description: SSU rRNA
Rfam family: Eukaryotic small subunit ribosomal RNA
Source: RNAcentral
UUCAUUCAAAUUUCUGCCCUAUCAACUUUCGAUGGUAAGGUAUUGGCUUACCAUGGUUUCAACGGGUAACGGGAGAUUAGGGUUUGACUCCGGAGAGGGAGCCUGAGAAACGGCUACCACAUCCAAGGAAGGCAGCAGGCGCGCAAAUUACCCAAUCCCGACACGGGGAGGUAGUGACAAUAAAUACUGAUACAGGGCUCUUUUGGGUCUUGUAAUUGGAAUGAGUACAAUUUAAACCCCUUAACGAGGAACAAUUGGAGGGCAAGUCUGGUGCCAGCAGCCGCGGUAAUUCCAGCUCCAAUAGCGUAUAUUAAAGUUGUUGCAGUUAAAAAGCUCGUAGUUGAACCUUGGGCCUGGCUGGCCGGUCCGCCUCACCGCGUGCACUGGUCCGGCCGGGCCUUUCCUUCUGGAGAGCCCCAUGCCCUUCACUGGGUGUGCGGGGGAACCAGGACUUUUACUUUGAAAAAAUUAGAGUGUUCAAAGCAGGCCUUUGCUCGAAUACGUUAGCAUGGAAUAAUAGAAUAGGACGUGCGGUCCUAUUUUGUUGGUUUCUAGGACCGCCGUAAUGAUUAAUAGGGAUAGUCGGGGGCAUCCGUAUUCAAUUGUCAGAGGUGAAAUUCUUGGAUUUAUUGAAGACGAACUACUGCGAAAGCAUUUGCCAAGGAUGUUUUCAUUAAUCAGUGAACGAAAGUUAGGGGAUCGAAGACGAUCAGAUACCGUCGUAGUCUUAACCGUAAACUAUGCCGACUAGGGAUUGGGCGAUGUUACUAUUUUGACUCGCUCAGCACCUUACGAGAAAUCAAAG